Molecule: ribosomal RNA, 253 nt
Filed under: uncultured bacterium
Lineage: Bacteria
Description: partial 16S ribosomal RNA
Rfam family: Bacterial small subunit ribosomal RNA
Source: RNAcentral
UACGGAGGGUGCAAGCGUUAUCCGGAUUCACUGGGUUUAAAGGGUGCGUAGGCGGAUAUGUAAGUCCGUGGUGAAAUCUCUGGGCUUAACCCGGAAACUGCCAUGGAUACUAUGUGUCUUGAAUGUUGUUGAGGUGAGCGGAAUAUGUCAUGUAGCGGUGAAAUGCUUAGAUAUGACACAGAACACCGAUUGCGAAGGCAGCUCGCUAAACUAUAACUGACGCUGAGGCACGAAAGCGUGGGGAGCGAACAGG